GACGAACGCUGGCGGCGUGCCUAAUACAUGCAAGUAGAACGCAGUUGCGAACGGGUGAGUAACGCGUAGGUAACUGCCUCAUAGCGGGGGAUAACUCUUGGAAACGAUAGCUAAUACCGCAUACUGUGAGAUGGACCUUCGUUUUAUUAGCUAGUUGGUGAGGUAAAGGCUCACCAAGGCGACGGUACAUAGCCGACCUGAGAGGGUGAGCGGCAAAACUGGGACUGAGUCACGGCCCAGACGUCUACGGGAGGGAGCAGGAGGGGAUCUUCGGAAAGUGGGGGAAGUCUGAAGGAGCAAAGCCGCGGGAGUGAAGAAGGGUUUCGGAGCGUAAAGCUCUGUUGUGAGAGAAGCGGUAACUAAACAGAAAGGGACGGCUAACUACGUGCCAGCAGCCGCGGUAAUUC
This 407-nucleotide ribosomal RNA is filed under the name uncultured bacterium. RNAcentral describes it as "partial 16S ribosomal RNA". It matches the Rfam family "Bacterial small subunit ribosomal RNA", at positions 28 to 526 of the family's 1533-position model. The record is from RNAcentral.